CGGGGAUGUACGGCUGGUUAGCGUUCGGGACGCUGAGGCCGGGGGUUCAAAUCCCCCCUUCCCGA
This 65-nucleotide transfer RNA is filed under the name Actinomycetota bacterium. RNAcentral describes it as "tRNA-Pro". It matches the Rfam family "tRNA". From Rfam's summary of the family: Transfer RNA (tRNA) molecules are approximately 80 nucleotides in length. Their secondary structure includes four short double-helical elements and three loops (D, anti-codon, and T loops). Further hydrogen bonds mediate the characteristic L-shaped molecular structure. tRNAs have two regions of fundamental functional importance: the anti-codon, which is responsible for specific mRNA codon recognition, and the 3' end, to which the tRNAs corresponding amino acid is attached (by aminoacyl-tRNA synthetases). tRNAs cope with the degeneracy of the genetic code in two manners: having more than one tRNA (with a specific anti-codon) for a particular amino acid; and 'wobble' base-pairing, i.e. permitting non-standard base-pairing at the 3rd anti-codon position. The record is from RNAcentral. Lineage: Bacteria; Bacillati; Actinomycetota.